ACGACGAAAUCAAAUCUCUGGGGGUUGUCAGGUACAGGCUGCCUUCUGUCUCCAAGCCGUACACAUCUUUGGUCAUCAGAAAGGAUGAGUUUGGGAUGUGCUGUUUCUGGGUCCAGGGUCACUGCCACUGCAAGAGACAUAGACAGGUGAGGCUUGGAAGCCUAGGUCUUAAGGGAUGUGGGGAUAGCUUUGGAGGGAAAAAAAAUAUUUAGGUCUGCCAUCACUGUCAUUAGCCCAUUUUAGUUCACGGAUUCCCGCCCCCACCAUGUGUACUGGAAUCAAAUAAUUUUCUCUUUCAAAGAACAGGUCUCCUGGUCGAUUACUAGGUAAUAGAAGAAAAAGUUCUUCUUCGUCUGUCUGUGAAGCCGCCUUAAUCCUUAGGAAAUAACUACCUGCUGUGAGUUAAGUGUGUCCCUCAGAAGUUCAUGUGUUGGAACCUUAAUCCCUCAUUGCUGCAGUGUUCAGAGAAGCCGCUAUCACCAUACUAUGAAGUAGCACAAGGCCUUCACCAGAUGCAGUCACCCAAUCUUGGACCAUCCAGCCCCGAGAACCAUAGGCUAAAUAAACCUCUUUCCUAGGCAGGGUCUCACUAUGUUGCCCAGGAUGGAAUGCAGUAGGUAUUCAUGGGCAUGCAGUCAUAACACACUACAGCAUUGAAUUCCUGGCCUCAGGUGAACCUCCCACUGCAGCCUCCCAAAUAGGUUGCCUGUUUUAACACUGAAAACAAUCAAGUAAGAGGAAGUUAUCUGCAUUUUGAUGAUGAGGAAACCAAAACCCAGAGCAGUAAAGUGACUUAUUCAAGGCCAGCACAAGUGUCCCAAGAUGCACCAAGCUGCCUGAGUAGGACUGACUCCUUGUCACUACAGAUAAGGCAAAGGCACGCAAUGAUGAGAAGUACCAGGACAGGCAGGAUCACAGCCAGAGCCACUGCUGAGCGGGAGAGACUCCCCACAGAUGGGGCUGAAACAGAAACCACCAACGACUGACAUCAGGGAGCUGUCCAAGAGUUUCUGGCACGUCUCAGAUGGCAGGUGGCUCCGGCACAUCCCAACUGUCUCCAUCACCUCUAGGGAGAGACCUCCAGCCAAGAGGCUCUUUGCUUCUCGUGGUAACUCAAGCCCUGGAUGGCAUUAAAGAUAACUGAGGCUGGGAAUGGUGGCUCACACUUGUAAUACCAGCACUUUGGGAGGCAGAGGCAGGAGGAUCAUCUGAGAU
Long non-coding RNA from Macaca mulatta (Rhesus monkey), 1215 nucleotides. RefSeq lists it as uncharacterized. The record is from RefSeq and is a predicted model, not a curated record. NCBI's taxonomy places the organism in Eukaryota, Metazoa, Chordata, Mammalia, Primates, Cercopithecidae.